CCACUUUGUGAUUCAUGACUGGGGUGAAGUCGUAACAAGGUAGCCGUAGGGGAACCUGCGGCUGGAUCACCUCCUUU
Molecule: ribosomal RNA, 77 nt
Filed under: Candidatus Thiodiazotropha taylori
Lineage: Bacteria; Pseudomonadati; Pseudomonadota; Gammaproteobacteria; Chromatiales; Sedimenticolaceae
Description: partial 16S ribosomal RNA
Rfam family: Bacterial small subunit ribosomal RNA
Source: RNAcentral